AUUGAACGCUGGCGGCAUGCCUUACACAUGCAAGUCGAACGGUAACGGGUCCUUCGGGAUGCCGACGAGUGGCGAACGGGUGAGUAAUAUAUCGGAACGUGCCCAGUAGUGGGGGAUAACUGCUCGAAAGAGCAGCUAAUACCGCAUACGACCUGAGGGUGAAAGGGGGGGAUCGCAAGACCUCUCGCUAUUGGAGCGGCCGAUAUCAGAUUAGCUAGUUGGUGGGGUAAAGGCCUACCAAGGCAACGAUCUGUAGUUGGUCUGAGAGGACGACCAGCCACACUGGGACUGAGACACGGCCCAGACUCCUACGGGAGGCAGCAGUGGGGAAUUUUGGACAAUGGGCGCAAGCCUGAUCCAGCAAUGCCGCGUGCAGGAAGAAGGCCUUCGGGUUGUAAACUGCUUUUGUCAGGGAAGAAAUCUUCUGGGCUAAUACCCCGGGAGGAUGACGGUACCUGAAGAAUAAGCACCGGCUAACUACGUGCCAGCAGCCGCGGUAAUACGUAGGGUGCGAGCGUUAAUCGGAAUUACUGGGCGUAAAGCGUGCGCAGGCGGCUUUGCAAGACAGAUGUGAAAUCCCCGGGCUCAACCUGGGAACUGCAUUUGUGACUGCAAGGCUAGAGUACGGCAGAGGGGGAUGGAAUUCCGCGUGUAGCAGUGAAAUGCGUAGAUAUGCGGAGGAACACCAAUGGCGAAGGCAAUCCCCUGGGCCUGUACUGACGCUCAUGCACGAAAGCGUGGGGAGCAAACAGGGUUAGAUACCCCUGGUAGUCCACGCCCUAAACGAUGUCAACUGGUUGUUGGACGGCUUGCUGUUCAGUAACGAAGCUAACGCGUGAAGUUGACCGCCUGGGGAGUACGGCCGCAAGGUUGAAACUCAAAGGAGUUGACGGGGACCCGCACAAGCGGUGGAUGAUGUGGUUUAAUUCGAUGCAACGCGAAAAACCUUACCUACCCUUGACAUGUCAAGAAUUCUGCAGAGAUGUGGAAGUGCUCGAAAGAGAACUUGAACACAGGUGCUGCAUGGCCGUCGUCAGCUCGUGUCGUGAGAUGUUGGGUUAAGUCCCGCAACGAGCGCAACCCUUGUCAUUAGUUGCUACGCAAGAGCACUCUAAUGAGACUGCCGGUGACAAACCGGAGGAAGGUGGGGAUGACGUCAGGUCCUCAUGGCCCUUAUGGGUAGGGCUACACACGUCAUACAAUGGCCGGUACAGAGGGCUGCCAACCCGCGAGGGGGAGCCAAUCCCAGAAAACCGGUCGUAGUCCGGAUCGUAGUCUGCAACUCGACUGCGUGAAGUCGGAAUCGCUAGUAAUCGCGGAUCAGCUUGCCGCGGUGAAUACGUUCCCGGGUCU
This 1353-nucleotide ribosomal RNA is filed under the name uncultured bacterium. RNAcentral's name for it is "bacterial SSU rRNA". It matches the Rfam family "Bacterial small subunit ribosomal RNA", at positions 28 to 1381 of the family's 1533-position model. The record is from RNAcentral.